CGACCGGCGCACGGGUGAGUAACGCGUAUGCAACCUGCCUGAUACCGGGGUAUAGCCCAUGGAAACGUGGAUUAACACCCCAUAGUACUUUUAUCCUGCAUGGGAUGUGAGUUAAAUGUUCAAGGUAUCGGAUGGGCAUGCGUCCUAUUAGUUAGUUGGCGGGGUAACAGCCCACCAAGACGAUGAUAGGUAGGGGUUCUGAGAGGAAGGUCCCCCACAUUGGAACUGAGACACGGCCCAA
This 241-nucleotide ribosomal RNA is filed under the name uncultured bacterium. Its description in RNAcentral is "partial 16S ribosomal RNA". It matches the Rfam family "Bacterial small subunit ribosomal RNA", at positions 92 to 334 of the family's 1533-position model. The record is from RNAcentral.